Non-coding RNA from Pangasianodon gigas (Mekong giant catfish), 72 nucleotides. NCBI's taxonomy places the organism in Eukaryota, Metazoa, Chordata, Actinopteri, Siluriformes, Pangasiidae. The record is from the annotation of a GenBank genome assembly.
UCCCUGGAGGACUAGUGGUUGGGCCACAGUGCUCUCGUUGCUACAGCCCAGGUUCGAUCCCUGGCCAGGGAA